RNAcentral lists this ribosomal RNA (919 nucleotides) under Hyphomonas sp. Its description in RNAcentral is "bacterial SSU rRNA". It matches the Rfam family "Bacterial small subunit ribosomal RNA", at positions 1 to 976 of the family's 1533-position model. The record is from RNAcentral. Lineage: Bacteria; Pseudomonadati; Pseudomonadota; Alphaproteobacteria; Hyphomonadales; Hyphomonadaceae.
UCAACUUGAGAGUUUGAUUCUGGCUCAGAACGAACGCUGGCGGCAGGCCUAACACAUGCAAGUCGAACGAUACAGUGGCAGACGGGUGAGUAACGCGUGGGAACGUACCUUUCACUACGGAAUAGCUCUGGGAAACUGGUGGUAAUACCGUAUACGCCCUCCGGGGGAAAGAUUUAUCGGUGAAAGAUCGGCCCGCGUUGGAUUAGCUAGUUGGUGAGGUAAUGGCUCACAAAGGCGACGAUCCAUAGCUGGUCUGAGAGGAUGAUCAGCCACAUUGGGACUGAGACACGGCCCAAACUCCUACGGGAGGCAGCAGUGGGGAAUCUUGCACAAUGGGCGAAAGCCUGAUGCAGCCAUGCCGCGUGAAUGAUGAAGGCCUUAGGGUUGUAAAAUUCUUUCGUCAGGGAUGAUAAUGACCGUACCUGAAGAAGAAGCCCCGGCUAACUUCGUGCCAGCAGCCGCGGUAAUACGAAGGGGGCUAGCGUUGUUCGGAAUUACUGGGCGUAAAGCGCACGUAGGCGGACUUUUAAGUCAGGUGUGAAAUCCCGGGGCUCAACCUCGGAACUGCAUUUGAAACUGGGAGUCUUGAGACCAGGAGAGGUUAGCGGAAUACCGAGUGUAGAGGUGAAAUUCGUAGAUAUUCGGUGGAACACCAGUGGCGAAGGCGGCUAACUGGACUGGUACUGACGCUGAGGUGCGAAAGUGUGGGGAGCAAACAGGAUUAGAUACCCUGGUAGUCCACACCGUAAACGAUGAGAGCUAGUUGUUGGCAGGCAUGCCUGUCAGUGACGCAGCUAACGCAUUAAGCUCUCCGCCUGGGGAGUACGGCCGCAAGGUUAAAACUCAAAGAAAUUGACGGGGGCCCGCACAAGCGGUGGAGCAUGUGGUUUAAUUCGAAGCAACGCGCAGAACCUUACCA